GAAAAAUGAUUAUUUCAAAGUAUUCAUUUUAGAAGGGACAGUGUAGACUUCCAUAAAAUAUGUGAAUCUAAGCUAAACAGACUAAGGACUGUAUUUAAAAAUCAUCAUGAUAAUUCUUUUGGCGAAAACUCCAUAUUUGUAAGAUCAUUAUUCAUUUAAUGGUUAAUUCGUGUAACAAAUAUUUAAGUCUGGGAUGGCAGUCAUACUUGGUAUUCAGAUUUCCUAACUUUGUCAAGUUUGAUUUUCUGUGCGUACAGUACUUUUGCUGCUUUUGAAAGGUAUGACA
RNAcentral lists this long non-coding RNA (286 nucleotides) under Bos taurus (domestic cattle). Its description in RNAcentral is "long non-coding RNA NONBTAT024870". The record is from RNAcentral. Lineage: Eukaryota; Metazoa; Chordata; Mammalia; Artiodactyla; Bovidae.